GUUGUAUGGUUAAGUGACUAAGCGUACACGGUGGAUGCCUUGGCAGUCAGAGGCGAUGAAAGACGUAGUAACUUGCGAUAAGCCCAGAUUAGGUAGUAACAACCAUUUGAGUCUGGGAUUUCUGAAUGGGGAAACCCACGUGCAUAAGCACGUAUCCUUACCUGAAUACAUAGGGUAAGGAGGCGAACCGGGGGAACUGAAACAUCUAAGUACCCCGAGGAAAAGAAAUCAACCGAGAUUCCGAAAGUAGCGGCGAGCGAAAUUGGACUAGCCCUUAAGCUUUACACGCGUUAGACGAACGGUCUGGAAAGUCCGACGAUACAGGGUGAUAGUCCCGUAGUUGACGACGUGUGUUCAGUGAAAUCGAGUAGGGCGGGACACGUGAUAUCCUGUCUGAAUAUGGGGGGACCAUCCUCCAAGGCUAAAUACUACUGACUGACCGAUAGUGAACCAGUACCGUGAGGGAAAGGCGAAAAGAACCCCUGUGAGGGGAGUGAAAUAGAACCUGAAACCGUGUACGUACAAGCAGUAGGAGCAGGCUUUGUCCUGUGACUGCGUACCUUUUGUAUAAUGGGUCAGCGACUUAUAUUCAGUGGCAAGGUUAACCAUCUAGGGGAGCCGUAGGGAAACCGAGUCUUAACUGGGCGUUCAGUCUCUGGAUAUAGACCCGAAACCAGGUGAUCUAGCCAUGGGCAGGUUGAAGGUUGAGUAACAUCAACUGGAGGACCGAACCGACUAAUGUUGAAAAAUUAGCGGAUGACUUGUGGCUAGGGGUGAAAGGCCAAUCAAACCUGGAGAUAGCUGGUUCUCCCCGAAAGCUAUUUAGGUAGCGCCUCGGACGAAUACUACUGGGGGUAGAGCACUGUUAAGGCUAGGGGGUCAUCCCGACUUACCAACCCUUUGCAAACUCCGAAUACCAGUAAGUACUAUCCGGGAGACACACGGCGGGUGCUAACGUCCGUCGUGGAGAGGGAAACAACCCAGACCGCCAGCUAAGGUCCCAAAUUACUACUAAGUGGGAAACGAUGUGGGAAGGCUCAGACAGCCAGGAUGUUGGCUUAGAAGCAGCCAUCAUUUAAAGAAAGCGUAAUAGCUCACUGGUCGAGUCGGCCUGCGCGGAAGAUGUAACGGGGCUAAGUAGUAAACCGAAGCUGCGGCAAUGUGCUUUUGCACAUUGGGUAGGGGAGCGUUCUGUAAGCGGUUGAAGGUGUGUGGUAACGCAUGCUGGACGUAUCAGAAGUGCGAAUGCUGACAUGAGUAACGAUAAAGGGGGUGAAAAACCUCCUCGCCGGAAGACCAAGGGUUCCUGUCCAACGUUAAUCGGGGCAGGGUAAGUCGACCCCUAAGGCGAGGCCGAAAGGCGUAGUCGAUGGGAAACGGGUUAAUAUUCCCGUACUUCUUACAAUUGCGAUGGGGGGACGGAGAAGGCUAGGUGGGCCUGGCGACGGUUGUCCAGGUUCAAGUGCGUAGGCUUAAGAGUUAGGUAAAUCCGGCUCUUUUUAAGGCUGAGACACGACGUCGAGCACCUACGGGUGUGAAGUCAUUGAUGCCAUGCUUCCAGGAAAAGCCUCUAAGCUUCAGAUUGUAAGGAAUCGUACCCCAAACCGACACAGGUGGUCGGGUAGAGAAUACCAAGGCGCUUGAGAGAACUCGGGUGAAGGAACUAGGCAAAAUGGUACCGUAACUUCGGGAGAAGGUACGCUCUUGAUGGUGAAGUCCCUCGCGGAUGGAGCUGACGAGAGUCGCAGAUACCAGGUGGCUGCAACUGUUUAUUAAAAACACAGCACUGUGCAAAAUCGUAAGAUGACGUAUACGGUGUGACGCCUGCCCGGUGCCGGAAGGUUAAUUGAUGGGGUUAGACUUCGGUCGAAGCUCUUGAUCGAAGCCCCGGUAAACGGCGGCCGUAACUAUAACGGUCCUAAGGUAGCGAAAUUCCUUGUCGGGUAAGUUCCGACCUGCACGAAUGGCGUAAUGAUGGCCACGCUGUCUCCACCCGAGACUCAGUGAAAUUGAAAUCGCUGUGAAGAUGCAGUGUACCCGCGGCUAGACGGAAAGACCCCGUGAACCUUUACUACAGCUUGGCACUGAACAUUGACCCUACAUGUGUAGGAUAGGUGGGAGGCUUUGAAGCACGUACGCCAGUAUGUGUGGAGCCGUCCUUGAAAUACCACCCUUGUAGUGUUGAUGUUCUAACGUCGACCCCUUAUCGGGGUUGCGGACAGUGCCUGGUGGGUAGUUUGACUGGGGCGGUCUCCUCCCAAAGAGUAACGGAGGAGCACGAAGGUGGGCUAAUCACGGUUGGACAUCGUGAGGUUAGUGCAAUGGCAUAAGCCCGCUUGACUGCGAGAAUGACAAUUCGAGCAGGUGCGAAAGCAGGUCAUAGUGAUCCGGUGGUUCUGAAUGGAAGGGCCAUCGCUCAACGGAUAAAAGGUACUCCGGGGAUAACAGGCUGAUACCGCCCAAGAGUUCAUAUCGACGGCGGUGUUUGGCACCUCGAUGUCGGCUCAUCACAUCCUGGGGCUGAAGUCGGUCCCAAGGGUAUGGCUGUUCGCCAUUUAAAGUGGUACGCGAGCUGGGUUUAGAACGUCGUGAGACAGUUCGGUCCCUAUCUGCCGUGGGCGUUGGAAGAUUGAAGGGGGCUGCUCCUAGUACGAGAGGACCGGAGUGGACGAACCUCUGGUGUUCGGGUUGUGUCGCCAGACGCAUUGCCCGGUAGCUAAGUUCGGAAUCGAUAACCGCUGAAAGCAUCUAAGCGGGAAGCGAGCCCUGAGAUGAGUCUUCCCUGAUACUUUAAGUAUCCUAAAGGGUUGUCGGAGACUACGACGUUGAUAGGUCAGGUGUGUAAGUGCUGUGAGGCAUUGAGCUAACUGAUACUAAUUGCCCGUGAGGCUUAACCAUACAACACCCAAGGGGUUU
This 2916-nucleotide ribosomal RNA is filed under the name Vibrio parahaemolyticus. RNAcentral describes it as "bacterial LSU rRNA". It matches the Rfam family "Bacterial large subunit ribosomal RNA". The record is from RNAcentral. Lineage: Bacteria; Pseudomonadati; Pseudomonadota; Gammaproteobacteria; Vibrionales; Vibrionaceae.